Molecule: unclassified non-coding RNA, 2782 nt
Filed under: Pogonomyrmex barbatus (red harvester ant)
Lineage: Eukaryota; Metazoa; Arthropoda; Insecta; Hymenoptera; Formicidae
Description: dopamine receptor 2, transcript variant X3
Source: RNAcentral
CAAUUAACGCGCGUUAACCGGCGAUAAUAUGCUAAUGGAGAACAACCGUGAUACUCGCGUAUCUUCUUCAGCGGAAGCUUCAUACACGAUCGUACUAUGUGCAUAUCGAUCGCCAUUGGUACUAUUCAUCCGUAAUGACCAAGUUCAACGGCGGCCUUCUUCAACACACGGCUACGGUGUAAGAUCGAGUAUACGUGUAUUACACUGUUGAAACGAGGGAGGCCACGAGGACGCGAGAGUGCGGGGUCAAAGAUGAUCGUGAUAAUCACUCAACGAUGAAUAUCCAUAAAUAGCCGUAGUUGGCGAGCGGUUUAUAGACAACGCUGAAAGAGAAUGUCGAAGCUCUUUGAAACUGAUUGUUCACGUAUGGCAUGAGCAGCUCUACUACGGAAUACGGAAUACUUUAAUUUGUUGCGAUGAUUGAUGUUAAUAAUAUGUAAUAUUACAUAUUACUUUCAACACCGAGACAUACAACCAAAGAUAUUUAAAAGAAAGAUAAUCCUAGCCGAAUGAAAAUACUGCUGGAGACGUAGAAGAAAUCUAAACUUUACGACACCACCUCUCAAUUAUGUGUUGUGACUACGUUCUCUACGUUACUUUAACGUGUACGUGUACAUAUUGUGAUCGAAAAUGAAACUUUAAUAUUGUGCCAAACGUCUCUCUUUAUCAGAUAGAUUUAGACACUGUGACACCACUGUGACUAAUACUCGACACGACUAGCUUCAAGCUUCAAGCUUCAAGCAACAGCCAAAUAAUAAAAUGACAAAAAUGACAAAAAUGAAUUGAAUAUCUAUGGAGUAUGUGUACGUUUAUGUGUAAUUUGUAAUUUGCAACUUUGGACGUUGUAAUGAUUCGCGGCAUCUCAGUGAAACGAGAUGAGAGGACAAAACGAGACGGAAACGAGAGGUCUCGUAAACAUUUGUGCAGACGCGAUGCCGAAGCCCUGACGUCUAGCGAAGCUCGCCUAGCGAAGAUUAGAAGAAGAUUACGAUCAUCUCGGGCAGUUACACGUCAGGGUGAUUAGGGUCGAAAGCGCGUACCGUCGUAGCGCUACGGUACGGCUGCGCACGGUGAAACAUGAACGACAGCGAGAUUUAUCUAUUGAACUGGGAAGAAGAGGCACACGCAUCGGACAACGAUCUUGGCAGGAGCUUUUAUAACGCGAGCUAUCCGCCAUUCAAUCACACCUACGAGGAUCUCUGGGGACGCGCCACGGAUCGAAUCGGUCUCGCGAUCCUACUGCUGCUCUUCUCCGUAGCUACUGUUUUCGGGAAUUCGUUGGUGAUUCUCGCGGUAUUCCGAGAGAGGCAUCUGCACACAGCUACAAAUUAUUUCGUGACUUCAUUGGCUUGCGCCGAUUGCCUGGUGGGACUGGUAGUGAUGCCUAUCAGCGCGGUAUACGAGGUACUGGAGAACCGUUGGCUAUUCACGACGGACUGGUGCGACGUUUGGCGCUCGUUGGACGUUCUCUUCUCCACCGCGUCUAUUCUAAACCUGUGCGUCAUUAGCCUAGAUCGUUACUGGGCGAUUACCGAUCCCUUCACGUAUCCAACUCGCAUGAGCAGGAAACGCGCGGCGAUCUUAAUCGCCAUCGUAUGGAUUUGCUCGAGCGCGAUCUCCUUUCCGGCGAUAGCGUGGUGGCGUGCCGUUCGUACCGAGCAAGUGCCGGAAGACAAAUGUCCCUUCACGGAAAACCUCGGUUACCUGAUAUUCUCGUCGACAAUCAGUUUUUAUCUACCGCUAUUCGUGAUGGUGUUUACCUAUUAUAGAAUCUAUCGCGCCGCCGUAAUACAGACGAGGAGUCUGAAACUCGGCACGAAGCAGGUGAUGAUGGCCUCGGGCGAGCUCGAGCUCACGCUGAGGAUACACCGAGGCGGUGCCACCAACACCGAUGCCAGGCAUCUUUUUCGCACCGCUUCGAGCACACCCGAGGACCUCCAAGAUCUCGAGGAACCGUUAACGGCUCUUCACAACAACGGUCUCACUAGAGUGCCCUCCGUGAGGAUCAACAACAAGCAACAUCUAGGCAAAAAUUUCUCUCUCUCGCGUAAGCUCGCCAAAUUCGCCAAAGAAAAAAAGGCAGCCAAGACUCUUGGUAUCGUUAUGGGUGUCUUUAUUAUUUGUUGGCUGCCGUUCUUCGUUGUGAAUCUGUGGUCGGGAUUCUGCACGAGGUGUAUAUGGCAGGAAGAGAUAGUAUCCGCGGCCGUCACCUGGCUCGGUUGGAUUAACAGCGGAAUGAAUCCCGUGAUAUACGCUUGCUGGAGCAGAGACUUUCGUAGAGCUUUCGUCAGAAUUCUAUGCUACUGUUGCCCCAGACGAAUGAAGCGGCGAUAUCAGCCGGCGUUUAGAUGUAAGCCAAGUCAGAAAUUCACAUCCGGACGAUACUACUCCGCGUAUUCCCUGCAUCACGUACGGGGAAGUCGAGAAAAUUCCGGCGAGCAAACCUACAUUUAACAAUGGAAUAUCAUCGCGAGCUGGUCAUCGGCCGUUGAUCGUGGAAUUCCUCGAGAACCUUUUUUCUAUUUCUGUUAAAUUUCCGUUAUCGCUUUCCCUUCGUCCUUAAUGCAACAUAGAUAAAACAGUAUAAUAGUUUAGCAGAAGUCGAUUUCCAAGUAAUCACGAUCCCAUUAUAUCCGUUUUCCAAAAUCCUUGUAUAACAAAGAUCAACGAACAUCAACGAAUAUCAACGCAUUUCCAUAGAAUAUAAAUUCUCGUACAUUUCCGGAAUGGCAGCGGGAGGACAAGCGAGUAACGUGAGCUAUAGCAGUGUCAGCCAAAGUAG